RNAcentral lists this ribosomal RNA (1522 nucleotides) under bioreactor metagenome. RNAcentral's name for it is "bacterial SSU rRNA". It matches the Rfam family "Bacterial small subunit ribosomal RNA". The record is from RNAcentral.
AGAGUUUGAUCCUGGCUCAGAACGAACGCUGGCGGCGCGUUUUAAGCAUGCAAGUCGAGCGGUAAGCUAACUUCGGUUAGCCUAGAGCGGCGGACGGGUGAGUAACACGUGGAUAAUCUGCCUCUUUGUUUGGGAUAGCUUGUGGAAACAUAAGGUAAUACCAAAUGUGAUCUAUAAUGCAAAGUGUUAUAGAGGAAAGGCGCUGAGGCGUCGCAAAGAGAUGAGUCCGCGGCCCAUUAGCUAGACGGUAGGGUAAAGGCCUACCGUGGCGAUGAUGGGUAGCCGGCCUGAGAGGGUGAUCGGCCACAUUGGAACUGAGACACGGUCCAGACUCCUACGGGGGGCAGCAGCUAAGAAUCUUCCGCAAUGGACGAAAGUCUGACGGAGCGACGCCGCGUGAACGAUGAAGGCCGUGAGGUUGUAAAGUUCUUUUCGAGAGGAGGAAUAAGGCUUGUAGGGAAUGACAGGCUGAUGACGUUAAUCUCGGAAUAAGCCCCGGCUAACUACGUGCCAGCAGCCGCGGUAACACGUAGGGGGCAAGCGUUGUUCGGAAUUAUUGGGCGUAAAGGGCGUGCAGGCGGUCUUGCAAGUCUGACGUGAAAGAUCUCGGCUUAACCGAGGGAACGCGUUGGAAACUGUAAGACUUGAGUACAGAAGGGGACAUUGGAAUUCCAGGUGUAGGGGUGAAAUCUGUAGAUAUCUGGAAGAACACCGGUGGCGAAGGCGAAUGUCUGGUCAUGUACUGACGCUGAGACGCGAAGGUGCGGGGAGCAAACAGGUUUAGAUACCCUGGUAGUCCGCACAGUAAACGAUGUACACUAGGUGGCAGGUCAUGAGACUUGGUACCGAAGCUAACGCAUUAAGUGUACCGCCUGGGGAGUAUGCUCGCAAGGGUGAAACUCAAAGGAAUUGACGGGGGCCCGCACAAGCGGUGGAGCAUGUGGUUUAAUUCGAUGAUACGCGAGAAACCUUACCAGGGCUUGACAUAUAUUGGACGAACUUAGAGAUAAGUUUUCCCUUCGGGGUCGAUAUACAGGUGCUGCAUGGCUGUCGUCAGCUCGUGCUGUGAAGUGUUGGGUUAAGUCCCGCAACGAGCGCAACCCCUACUGCCUGUUACCAUCACGUUAUGGUGGGGACUCAGGUGGGACUGCCGGUGACAAACCGGAGGAAGGUGGGGACGACGUCAAGUCAUCAUGGCCCUUAUGUCCUGGGCUACACACGUGCUACAAUGGCCGGUACAAAGCGCAGCGAAGCCGCGAGGCCAAGCGAAUCGCAAAAAGCCGGUCCCAGUACGGAUUGGAGUCUGCAACUCGACUCCAUGAAGUUGGAAUCGCUAGUAAUCGCAUAUCAGCAUGAUGCGGUGAAUACGUUCCCGGGCCUUGUACACACCGCCCGUCACACCAUCCGAGUUGGGGGUACCCGAAGUCGCUAGCCUAACCUUUUUAAGGGGGGCGGUUCCGAAGGUAUGCUUGGCGAGGAGGGUGAAGUCGUAACAAGGUAGCCGUACCGGAAGGUGCGGCUG